UGUAGCCACCAGUUAUGCCUACACUAAAGCUGACUUACAGGCGGCUGUGAUGGACAACAACUAUUGUCAAGUGCCAUGAAAAGAAUAAAGCAUGGAUAGAGGGAAUGAUGUUGAGGAACAAACAGCGAAGGACACUGAGCAUAGCAAGUUAUAACAAGGAAAGAGCGCAAUCUGACACAAGGAGAGACAAUGGAGGAUCACUGCUUCCAGAUUUGGAGAGAUAAUUGCAGCUACAGAGAAGGAGUAUAUGAACAAACUGUAUGAAUCAUUGUUGUGUCCAAAACCAUUGCAGACACAUGACAGUUGGACCCGGACCUGAUUUCCCCUUUUUGGAAUGUGUAUCUCGUGCACGAAUCUGGGCCUAAAGAAAACCCGCAAAUACUAUAUUCAGUUAGAAGGCCAGAUGUUCAUUACAAAUCGCCCAUUCUGCAAUUUUGUUGUGUUUACAUUCAAAGAUCUGUUUGUGGGGUUGAUCCAUUCUGACACUGGAUAUUUUUCUACAUGUAUUUUGCCCAGGAUAACUUUAUUUAAUGAAAAACACUAUAGGAAGUAUGUGUCAGCUAGUUUAUAGAAAGUACCCCUGUAUGAGAUGGUUUUAGCUGCAAUCACAAUUUUGAAGUGCCAUUAAAAAAAAAUUGUUAAUUAAAAUGAAAUAAUUUGGUGGUGCUAUAUUCUUUACAAAAAGUACUAUGUGUUUAUGCUGUUUUUAAUAAUAUUUAACUGUAAUGAAAAAAAAAUCCUAUGAUGCUAUUUGUAAAGUAUUUUCAGUGGGAUGAAAUAAUUUGAUAGUUGUAUUUACAGCAAAUAAUUUGUUUUUUCUGCUUUUUAAAGAAUUUUCAAAGUGAUGACAUAAUGUGGUGGUUCUAUUCAAGUAAAAUAAUUCAUAAGUACUAUUUUGUGAAAAGGAACAAAAAACUGUUUAUUUGUAAAAUGUUUGCUUUCUUUAAUUUUUAUUUCUUAAACUGUUACAAAAAGUUUUCCAUAUCUACAGUAAUCCAUUGGCUGAGAAAUUGCAGCUAUGUUUUCAGGAAAGUUAUUGCACAAAUAAAUUGUAUAAGUAUUA
Lingula anatina is the source of this 1063-nucleotide long non-coding RNA. The record is from RefSeq and is a predicted model, not a curated record. NCBI's taxonomy places the organism in Eukaryota, Metazoa, Brachiopoda, Lingulata, Lingulida, Lingulidae.